This 2578-nucleotide ribosomal RNA is filed under the name Clostridioides difficile. Its description in RNAcentral is "bacterial LSU rRNA". It matches the Rfam family "Bacterial large subunit ribosomal RNA", at positions 319 to 2925 of the family's 2925-position model. Lineage: Bacteria; Bacillati; Bacillota; Clostridia; Peptostreptococcales; Peptostreptococcaceae. The record is from RNAcentral.
AGGUAUCGUAAUUGAAGAGGUUUGGAAAGACCCACCACAGAAGGUAAUAGUCCUGUAUGUUAAACGAGAAGACUUUAGAUAUGAUCCAGAGUACCACGGGACACGUGAAACCCUGUGGGAAGCAGGAGGGACCACCCUCCAAGGCUAAAUACUACCUAGUGACCGAUAGCGUAUAGUACCGUGAGGGAAAGGUGAAAAGAACCCCGGGAGGGGAGUGAAAUAGAACCUGAAACCCUGCACUUACAAGCUGUGGAAGCACAUUUCUUGUGUGACCGCGUACUUUUUGUAGAACGGGCCAACGAGUUACGUUAAGUAGCAAGGUUAAGCACUUAAGGUGUGGAGCCGUAGCGAAAGCGAGUUUUAACUGAGCGUUCAGUUACUUGACGUAGACCCGAAACCGGGCGACCUACCCAUGAGCAGGAUGAAGCGAAAGUAAAAUUUCGUGGAGGUCCGAACCCACGAGCGUUGAAAAGCUCGGGGAUGACUUGUGGGUAGCGGUGAAAUUCCAAUCGAGCCCGGAGAUAGCUGGUUCUCCCCGAAAUAGCUUUAGGGCUAGCCUCAAGGUGAGAGAUACGGAGGUAGAGCACUGAAUGUCCUAGGGGGUAUUGCACCUACCGAAGACUAUCAAACUCCGAAUGCCGUCAUCUUAUACUUGGGAGUCAGACUGUGGGUGAUAAGAUUCAUAGUCGAAAGGGCAACAGCCCAGAUCGUCAGCUAAGGUCCCUAAAUGUAAGUUAAGUGGUAAAGGAUGUGGGAUUGCACAGACAACCAGGAUGUUGGCUUAGAAGCAGCCACUCAUUCAAAGAGUGCGUAAUAGCUCACUGGUCGAGUGAUCCUGCGCCGAAGAUUUCCGGGGCUAAAACUUACUACCGAAGCUACGGCAUCAGUAAUGAUGGGUAGGGGAGCUUCCCAUACGGGUUGAAGCAUGACCGUAAGGACAUGUGGACAGUAUGGGAGUGAGAAUGUUGGCAUGAGUAGCGAGAUGUGGGUGAGAAUCCCACAGGCCGUAAACCCAAGGUUUCCAGGGGAAGGUUCGUCCGCCCUGGGUUAGUCGGGACCUAAGCUGAGGCCGAAAGGCGUAGGUGAUGGACAACAGGUUGAUAUUCCUGUACUACCGAUAACCGUUUGAGAGAAGGGAUGACACAGUAGGAUAAGCUAAGCACACUGUUGGUUAUGUGUGCCCAAGCAUUGAGGCAGUCAAAGUAGGCAAAUCCGCUUUGAUAAUGCUGGGAUGUGAUGGGGAGCGAAAUUUAGUAGCGAAGUAGCUGAUUUCACACUGUCAAGAAAAGUCUCUAUCGAGGUUAAAGGUACCCGUACCGCAAACCGACACAGGUGGGUGAGGAGAGUAUCCUAAGGCCAGCGAGAGAACUGUUGUUAAGGAACUCGGCAAAAUGACCCCGUAACUUAGGGAUAAGGGGUGCCACCAUCAGGUGGCCGCAGAGAAUAGGCCCAAGCGACUGUUUACCAAAAACAUAGGUUUCUGCUAAGUCGCAAGACGAUGUAUAGGAGCUGACGCCUGCCCGGUGCUGGAAGGUUAAGGGGAUCUGUUAGAGCAAUCGAAGCAGUGAACUUAAGCCCCAGUAAACGGCGGCCGUAACUAUAACGGUCCUAAGGUAGCGAAAUUCCUUGUCGGGUAAGUUCCGACCCGCACGAAAGGCGUAACGAUUUGGGCACUGUCUCAACAACAGACUCGGUGAAAUUGUAAUUCCGGUGAAGAUGCCGGAUACCUGCGACAGGACGGAAAGACCCCAUGGAGCUUUACUGUAGCUUGACAUUGGGUCUUGGUACUACAUGUACAGGAUAGGUGGGAGGCUUUGAAACCAGGACGCCAGUUUUGGCGGAGCCAUCCUUGGGAUACCACCCUUGUAGUACUGGGACUCUAACCAUAGGCCAUGAAUCUGGUCUUGGGACACUGUCAGGUGGGCAGUUUGACUGGGGCGGUCGCCUCCCAAAAGGUAACGGAGGCGCUCAAAGGUUCUCUCAGUACGGUCGGAAAUCGUACGUAGAGUGUAAAGGCAAAAGAGAGCUUGAUUGCAAGACAUACAGGUCGAGCAAGGAUGAAAAUCGGACUUAGUGAUCCGGUGGUUCUGCGUGGAAGGGCCAUCGCUCAACGGAUAAAAGCUACCCUGGGGAUAACAGGCUUAUCUCCCCCAAGAGUCCACAUCGACGGGGAGGUUUGGCACCUCGAUGUCGGCUCAUCACAUCCUGGGGCUGUAGUAGGUCCCAAGGGUUGGGCUGUUCGCCCAUUAAAGUGGUACGCGAGCUGGGUUCAGAACGUCGUGAGACAGUUCGGUCCCUAUCCGUCGCAGGCGUAGGAAAUUUGAGAAGACCUGUCCUUAGUACGAGAGGACCGGGAUGGACGUACCUCUGGUGUACCAGUUGUCCUGCCAAGGGCAUGGCUGGGUAGCUAUGUACGGAAUGGAUAAGCGCUGAAAGCAUCUAAGCGCGAAGCCAACUUCAAGAUAAGAUUUCCCACCGCAAGGGUAAGACCCCAGAAAGACUAUCUGGUUGAUAGGUCGAAGGUGUAAGUGCAGCAAUGUAUUUAGCUUAUCGAUACUAAUAGGUCGAGGACUUGACC